UAGGGAAUUUUCGUCAAUGGGGGGAACCCUGAACGAGCAAUGCCGCGUGUGUGAAGAAGGUCUUCGGAUCGUAAAGCACUGUUGUAAGUGAAGAAUGCCAUAUAGAGGAAAUGCUAUGUGGGUGGCGGUAGCUUACCAGAAAGCCACGGCUAACUACGUGCCAGCAGCCGCGGUAAUACGUAGGUGGCAAGCGUUAUCCGGAAUCAUUGGGCGUAAAGGGUGCGUAGGUGGCACGAUAAGUCUGAAGUAAAAGGCAACAGCUCAACUGUUGUAUGCUUUGGAAACUGUCGAGCUAGAGUGCAGAAGAGGGCGAUGGAAUUCCAUGUGUAGCGGUAAAAUGCGUAGAUAUAUGGAGGAACGCCAGUGGCGAAGGCGGUCGCCUGGUCUGUAACUGACACUGAUGCACGAAAGCGUGGGGGAGCAAAUAGGAUUAGAUACC
Molecule: ribosomal RNA, 439 nt
Filed under: uncultured bacterium
Lineage: Bacteria
Description: bacterial SSU rRNA
Rfam family: Bacterial small subunit ribosomal RNA
Source: RNAcentral